GACGAACGCUGGCGGCGUGCUUAACACAUGCAAGUCGAACGCUGAAGCUCAGCUUGCUGGGUGGAUGAGUGGCGAACGGGUGAGUAACACGUGAGUAACCUGCCCUCUUCUUUGGGAUAACGCCCGGAAACGGGUGCUAAUACUGGAUAUUCACUGAUUCUCGCAUGGGGGUUGGUGGAAAGGUUUUUUCUGGUGGGGGAUGGGCUCGCGGCCUAUCAGCUUGUUGGUGGGGUGAUGGCCUACCAAGGCUUUGACGGGUAGCCGGCCUGAGAGGGUGACCGGUCACAUUGGGACUGAGAUACGGCCCAGACUCCUACGGGAGGCAGCAGUGGGGGAUAUUGCACAAUGGGCGAAAGCCUGAUGCAGCGACGCCGCGUGAGGGAUGGAGGCCUUCGGGUUGUAAACCUCUUUCGCUCACGGUCAAGCCGCAGCUUGGGGUUGUGGUGAGGGUAGUGGGUAAAGAAGCGCCGGCUAACUACGUG
RNAcentral lists this ribosomal RNA (482 nucleotides) under uncultured bacterium. RNAcentral describes it as "partial 16S ribosomal RNA". It matches the Rfam family "Bacterial small subunit ribosomal RNA", at positions 28 to 507 of the family's 1533-position model. The record is from RNAcentral.